AGUGAACGCUGGCGGCAGGCCUAACACAUGCAAGUCGAGCGGCAGCGCGGGGGCAACCCUGGCGGCGCGCGGCGGACGGGUGAGGAAUUCGUCGGAAUCUGCCUUGUUGUGGUGGAUAACGUAGGGAAACUUACGCUAAUACCGGUUGCUACUUACGCGAGAAAGUGGGUGACCGCAAGGCCUCACGCAAAAAGAUGAGCCGCCGACCGAUUAGCUAGUUGUGAGGUUAAAGGCCCACCAAGGGGACGAACGGUAGCGGGUCGGGGAGGAUGAUCGGCCAACCUGGGACUGGGAAACGGCCCAGACUCCUCCGGGAGGCGCCAGUGGGGAAUAUUGGAAAAUGGCCGCAAGCUUGAUCAACCCAGGCCGCGGAUGUAAAGAAGGCCUUCGAGUGGUAAAGCACUUUUUAAGGGAAAGACAGCCGUGGAGCUAAUAACUUCGGGGGAUGACGGUACCGGAACAAUAAGCACCGGCUAACUACGUG
RNAcentral lists this ribosomal RNA (484 nucleotides) under uncultured bacterium. Its description in RNAcentral is "partial 16S ribosomal RNA". It matches the Rfam family "Bacterial small subunit ribosomal RNA", at positions 30 to 507 of the family's 1533-position model. The record is from RNAcentral.